GACGAACGCUGGCGGCGUGCUUAACACAUGCAAGUCGAACGGAAAGGCCCUGCUUUUGUGGGGUGCUCGAGUGGCGAACGGGUGAGUAACACGUGAGUAACCUGCCCUUGACUUUGGGAUAACUUCAGGAAACUGGGGCUAAUACCGGAUAGGAGCUCCUGCUGCAUGGUGGGGGUUGGAAAGUUUCGGCGGUUGGGGAUGGACUCGCCGCUUAUCAGCUUGUUGGUGGGGUAGUGGCUUACCAAGGCUUUGACGGGUAGCCGGCCUGGGAGGGUGACCGGCCACAUUGGGACUGAGAUACGGCCCAGACUCCUACGGGAGGCAGCAGUGGGGAAUAUUGCACAAUGGGCGGAAGCCUGAUGCAGCAACGCCGCGUGCGGGAUGACGGCCUUCGGGUUGUAAACCGCUUUCGCCUGUGACGAAGCGUGAGUGACGGUAAUGGGUAAAGAAGCACCGGCUAACUACGUG
RNAcentral lists this ribosomal RNA (468 nucleotides) under uncultured bacterium. RNAcentral's name for it is "partial 16S ribosomal RNA". It matches the Rfam family "Bacterial small subunit ribosomal RNA", at positions 28 to 507 of the family's 1533-position model. The record is from RNAcentral.